Molecule: ribosomal RNA, 740 nt
Filed under: uncultured bacterium
Lineage: Bacteria
Description: bacterial SSU rRNA
Rfam family: Bacterial small subunit ribosomal RNA
Source: RNAcentral
AGAGUUUGAUCCUGGCUCAGAACGAACGCUGGCGGCAGGCUUAACACAUGCAAGUCAAGCGCCCCGCAAGGGGAGCGGCAGACGGGUGAGUAACGCGUGGGAACCUACCCUUUUCUACGGAAUAACGCAUGGAAACGUGUGCUAAUACCGUAUACGCCCUUCGGGGGAAAGAUUUAUCGGAGAAGGAUGGGCCCGCGUUGGAUUAGCUAGUUGGUGGGGUAAAGGCCUACCAAGGCGACGAUCCAUAGCUGGUCUGAGAGGAUGAUCAGCCACAUUGGGACUGAGACACGGCCCAAACUCCUACGGGAGGCAGCAGUGGGGAAUAUUGGACAAUGGGCGCAAGCCUGAUCCAGCCAUGCCGCGUGAGUGAUGAAGGCCCUAGGGUUGUAAAGCUCUUUCACCGGAGAAGAUAAUGACGGUAUCCGGAGAAGAAGCCCCGGCUAACUUCGUGCCAGCAGCCGCGGUAAUACGAAGGGGGCUAGCGUUGUUCGGAAUUACUGGGCGUAAAGCGCACGUAGGCGGAUAUUUAAGUCAGGGGUGAAAUCCUUUGGCUCAACCAAAGAACUGCCUUCAAAACUGCAUAGCUUGAGGCUGAAAGAAGAGAGCGGAAUUCCCGGUGUAAGGGUGAAAUCUGUAGAUAUCGGGAGGAACACCAGUGGCGAAAGCGGCUCUCCGGUUCGGUCCUGACACUGAUCUGCGAAAGCUAGGGGAGCAAACAGGAUUAGAUACCCUGGUAGUCC